Molecule: ribosomal RNA, 361 nt
Filed under: Melarhaphe neritoides
Lineage: Eukaryota; Metazoa; Mollusca; Gastropoda; Littorinimorpha; Littorinidae
Description: partial 12S ribosomal RNA
Source: RNAcentral
UAGGAUAUAAAUCAAUUAUCAAUUUACCUGAGUACUAUGAACAAAAGUUUAAAACUCAAAGAGCUUGGCGGUGUUUUAGACUCCUCAGGGGAAUCUGUCUCGUAAUCGACAGUCCACGAAAUACCUAACUUUGCUUAGUAAUCAGUAUGUAUACCGUCGUCGUCAGGUAACUUUUAAAAAUGAAAAAGUUAGCAACUAAAAAUAUAAUUUUAGACGUCAGAUCAAGGUGCAGCCUAUAGCAAAGAGCAGAUGGAUUACAAUUAACACUUAUAAACACGGAAGAAAAGUAGAAUUAUUUUUUGGAAGGCGGACUUGAAAGUAAAAAUUUAUAUAUAAGUUUUUUGAAUCGAGCUCUGAAACG